CCCAGUUUCACCAAAGUCGAGUCAAAGCUCUGCUGACACCGGAGCGUGUUUUAUUGGCAUAUAAACUCUGCAAUGGGUCUGGUUGGGUAUUCCUGGAGAGCACAUUUUAACUGGAGUUACCUGCAGUGACUUGAAGCAGAUCAAACAUUCCCUGAAGUGUGGUAGAAGGCAAGAAGAAUGACACUUGCUAAUUUGAAUUUCAGAAAGCGCCUAAACCACAUUCUGAUCUCCAGCCUUUGAGAAAAAACUCUGUUUCCUGAAAACACGAGAACAGCGCCGGGAGGGUGAAGGUCAAGUGCAAUUGCAGAUCAUGGUGAAAGGCUUAGGAGGCUCAAAAGGCUUGGAAGAAGUUAUACGAGCGGUGACUGGGCUACUGAAUCUGGAUGGAAGAGGACUGUGCUGGGCAAAGAGAGGGUCUGUCUGAACAAGGCACUAGAGAAAAUUAAGAGUGUGGCUUAUCUUGAUAUUAGAAUAACAUGUGGACUGAAGUGACUCUUUAUCAUGGGACAAUCCAACAGAUGUUGAAUAAGCUAGAAAACGAUUUUUUCUUGGACCACUGCAAGUCACAAAGGGGAACCAGUGGACAGUUGUGAACCAGGAGGACUUGCUCCAUCCUAGCUGCCACUCUUUGCAGAAGCAGCAGCAGAAGACUUCUGUUCACAGAGGAACCUCUCAGUGAGAGAGGUGAACCCACAGCAUAGCACAUGCUCCCAGCGAAAAAUAUAAAAUAAGGGGUCAAGUUAAAGUUGCUUUUAUAUGUCAGAUGAUUCUAAAACUGUUAUUUAAUGACUAAUAAUGUACUUUAUGGUCAAUUUUUUACAGAUAAGCAAGGGCUUCUUAAGUCUGAUUCAUUUGCUUAAUGGUAUGCAUUUUUUUUCUUGAGUAUAGUUUUUAAUUUUGAGCACAAAUGGAUACUGGCCUUAGCUGUAAUAUAUGUGCUGUUUUCCAUCCCCGUGUAUUGUCAUUAGGGAGUUUUCUGGCUAUCUGUACUUUCUCACAUCUGUGUGCUAAAUUAGAAAUUCUUAUAUAAAAUGUAGUGUGCAGGAGUAUUCUUUGGAUUUGUGGUUCUUUCUUGGGACAACUUGCGUCUGCAAAGCAACAGAAUCUUCAUUCCUGAUUUUUUUUCCUUAGUUGCAGAGCAUACAUGAAAUUUCUGGUGAAAUCAGUCCUGUUUCAUUGAUAUAUCAAGGGACAUAAUUUUCUACUGGUUAUUUUCAUGCAAAAUAGAGUUUAACCAGUUAUUUUUGUGUGUGACAGCCUUGCAAAUGUGCUUCACAUUUAUUUAGCCACAUGUUGACAAUUCUAAAGAUGAGAAAAUCUCUCUGAGCACAAACAGAAUGUGAAAUCUGACAUCUCUGAAACUUCAUACUUCAGGGCUGAGAAAUAUCAGUGUUUUUUUUUCCAUUUUUUUCACAGCAUUUUUAAUUCUGUGUUUACAGUAGAAUAGAAAUGGCUUUUAAAAAGGAAAGCAGAACAUCUGUAACUAGAUCUAUCAUAUAUACUUGAUGAAGAGAGAUAUCAUGAGUAUUUCGGCUAUCUCAGUAUAUAACAUUAAUAUGAUAUCAAAAUUUUGCCAUAUUUCAGAUGAUAGUCUACGGCAAAAUUUUAAACACCCAUGAAACCACCCCCUGUAGUAAAUAAAUCCAUUUCAUAAUAUUAUAAUACAACUCAAUGAAGCUAUAAGUACACAUGAAAGCUAUUAUGCAAUCUUUAAAUAUAGCAAGUAUAUUCUGCAUUUUAGAAAAGUGAGAGUCUACACUAAAAAGUCCACAUGUAUAUUUUACCUCUUAGAAGAGGUGAAAAGAAAUGUGUGGAGGUAUAUGAAAUAUUUAAUCAACAAGAAAACAUGAAAACAGUAAUAAAAAUGCUACGACAAAUUUGUGAUAUAAAUCAACACUGCCUACAGCUUUUUAGCACUGCCAUUAUGUUUCAGUUUAACUUCUGUAAGCAAACACCAAAGAAUUUGUAAUUUUAGGGGAGCAUCUUUUACUAGU
Molecule: long non-coding RNA, 1994 nt
Organism: Chroicocephalus ridibundus (black-headed gull)
Lineage: Eukaryota; Metazoa; Chordata; Aves; Charadriiformes; Laridae
Exons: 6
Source: RefSeq, a predicted model, not a curated record